This 292-nucleotide ribosomal RNA is filed under the name uncultured Gemmatimonadaceae bacterium. RNAcentral's name for it is "partial 16S ribosomal RNA". It matches the Rfam family "Bacterial small subunit ribosomal RNA", at positions 505 to 796 of the family's 1533-position model. The record is from RNAcentral. Lineage: Bacteria; Pseudomonadati; Gemmatimonadota; Gemmatimonadia; Gemmatimonadales; Gemmatimonadaceae.
GUGUCAGCCGCCGCGGUAAUACAGGGGGUGCAAGCGUUGUCCGGAAUCACUGGGCGUAAAGGGCGCGUAGGCGGCCUGGUAAGUCGGAGGUGAAACGCUGCGGCUCAACCGCAGCACUGCCUUCGAGACUGCCUGGCCUGAGCGCGGUAGAGGCUGGUGGAAUUCCCGGUGUAGCGGUGGAAUGCGUAGAGAUCGGGAAGAACAUCGGUGGCGAAGGCGGCCAGCUGGGCCGUUGCUGACGCUGAGGCGCGACAGCGUGGGGAGCAAACAGGAUUAGAUACCCGCGUAGUCC